UCUACCUAGUAGUGGGGGAUAGCUCGGGGAAACUCGAAUUAAUACCGCAUACGACCUACGGGUGAAAGGGGGCGCAAGCUCUUGCUAUUAGAUGAGCCUAAAUCAGAUUAGCUAGUUGGUGGGGUAAAGGCCCACCAAGGCGACGAUCUGUAACUGGUCUGAGAGGAUGAUCAGUCACACCGGAACUGAGACACGGUCCGGACUCCUACGGGAGGCAGCAGUGGGGAAUAUUGGACAAUGGGGGCAACCCUGAUCCAGCCAUGCCGCGUGUGUGAAGAAGGCCUUUUGGUUGUAAAGCACUUUAAGCAGGGAGGAGAGGCUAAUGGUUAAUACCCAUUAGAUUAGACGUUACCUGCAGAAUAAGCACCGGCUAACUCUGUGCCAGCAGCCGCGGUAAUACAGAGGGUGCGAGCGUUAAUCGGAAUUACUGGGCGUAAAGCGAGUGUAGGUGGCUCAUUAAGUCACAUGUGAAAUCCCCGGGCUUAACCUGGGAACUGCAUGUGAUACUGGUGGUGCUAGAAUAUGUGAGAGGGAAGUAGAAUUCCAGGUGUAGCGGUGAAAUGCGUAGAGAUCUGGAGGAAUACCGAUGGCGAAGGCAGCUUCCUGGCAUAAUAUUGACACUGAGAUUCGAAAGCGUGGGUAGCAAACAGGAUUAGAUACCCUGGUAGUCCACGCCGUAAACGAUGUCUACUAGCCGUUGGGGUCCUUGAGACUUUAGUGGCGCAGUUAACGCGAUAAGUAGACCGCCUGGGGAGUACGGCCGCAAGGUUAAAACUCAAAUGAAUUGACGGGGGCCCGCACAAGCGGUGGAGCAUGUGGUUUAAUUCGAUGCAACGCGAAGAACCUUACCUGGUCUUGACAUAGUGAGAAUCUCUCAGAGAUGAGAGAGUGCCUUCGGGAACUCACAUACAGGUGCUGCAUGGCUGUCGUCAGCUCGUGUCGUGAGAUGUUGGGUUAAGUCCCGCAACGAGCGCAACCCUUUUCCUUAUUUGCCAGCGGGUUAAGCCGGGAACUUUAAGGAUACUGCCAGUGACAAACUGGAGGAAGGCGGGGACGACGUCAAGUCAUCAUGGCCCUUACGACCAGGGCUACACACGUGCUACAAUGGUAGGUACAGAGGGUUGCUACACAGCGAUGUGAUGCUAAUCUCAAAAAGCCUAUCGUAGUCCGGAUUGGAGUCUGCAACUCGACUCCAUGAAGUCGGAAUCGCUAGUAAUCGCGGAUCAGAAUGCCGCGGUGAAUACGUUCCCGGGCCUUGUACACACCGCCCGUCACACC
This 1278-nucleotide ribosomal RNA is filed under the name Psychrobacter sp. BYHD2-5. RNAcentral describes it as "bacterial SSU rRNA". It matches the Rfam family "Bacterial small subunit ribosomal RNA", at positions 125 to 1403 of the family's 1533-position model. Lineage: Bacteria; Pseudomonadati; Pseudomonadota; Gammaproteobacteria; Moraxellales; Moraxellaceae. The record is from RNAcentral.